CCCUGCCCUUUGUACACACCGCCCGUCGCUCCUACCGUUGGACUUGAAGGUGAGCUCGGUAGAGCCAAGCCUCUGGCUAACGGCGAAACCGAACAAAUCUUCGUGUCUGUAGGAAGGAGAAGUCGUAACAAGGUUUUCGUAGGUGAACCU
RNAcentral lists this ribosomal RNA (150 nucleotides) under uncultured eukaryote. RNAcentral describes it as "partial small subunit ribosomal RNA". It matches the Rfam family "Eukaryotic small subunit ribosomal RNA", at positions 1651 to 1816 of the family's 1831-position model. The record is from RNAcentral.